CACUCAGCAGAUCUCAGUGGAAGACCUAAAAGUUGUCCUGAGGCAAACAUUUGCCUGCUUUUCUUUGGAAGCUCAGCAGCUGUGAUGAAUGAGCGGCUUUCUCUUCAUCAGUGAUCCUCUUCUCGGGAGGAAAGGAGGGACUAAAGUCUCCUGGUAUAUUGGUGGAACACUGUUUGGGAUGUCAAGAUGUGAAUACCAUCGGGCUGUGAAAUGAAGCUACAUAUGUAAUGUCAUUGAAUAUUCUUUUGGAGAAGGCUAGAGUGGAGGGGAUUCAGCUGUGAGUCAGGGUCAGGAGGAAGAAUGGGAUGCCAAAUGACUUCACCCUCUCCUUUGCCUACACGGAAACCUUUGCACAGUUCAGCUGCAUUCUUGCACUCUGACAGCCAUACUAUGACAAUUCCUUGAAUAUGCACAACAGUCCUAGAAGUUGGGAAAGUUAAUUUUUAGCAUAGGUUGCAUGGUCACUGUUGCACAUAUGAGGAGUGGGUCGCUAUGAUUGUAUUGUUACUUUUCUGCCUUGGUUACCCUAAUAUUCUUAAUGCUGGAAUCAUAUUGCCCACUGGCAAGAGUUUAUACUGGAGGUUUGCUCUCUGAACUGCAAAUAUGCAUACUGCUAGAAUGGGAGAUGGAUCUUGACAAUCAGUAUUUAUCCAUUUUGCAAUACACUGUGCCUAAUGUAACAGCCUAGGACAAGGAAAAUGGUCAGGCUGAUAAGUAAAUAUUGUCCUUUUCUUCUGAUACUUACCUAUAUCAUCUUGCAUACUCCAGAA
Molecule: long non-coding RNA, 770 nt
Organism: Sceloporus undulatus (fence lizard)
Lineage: Eukaryota; Metazoa; Chordata; Lepidosauria; Squamata; Phrynosomatidae
Exons: 3
Source: RefSeq, a predicted model, not a curated record